UACGUAGGGACCAAGCGUUGUUCGGAUUUACUGGGCGUAAAGGGCGCGUAGGCGGCUUGACAAGUCACUUGUGAAAUCUCCGGGCUUAACUCGGAACGGCCAAGUGAAACUGUCAUGCUAGAGUGCAGAAGGGGCAAUCGGAAUUCUUGGUGUAGCGGUGAAAUGCGUAGAUAUCGGGAGGAACACCUGUGGCGAAAGCGGCGCACUGGACCAUAACUGACGCUGAGGCGCGAAAGCUAGGGGAGCAAACAGG
RNAcentral lists this ribosomal RNA (253 nucleotides) under uncultured bacterium. RNAcentral describes it as "partial 16S ribosomal RNA". It matches the Rfam family "Bacterial small subunit ribosomal RNA", at positions 524 to 776 of the family's 1533-position model. The record is from RNAcentral.